Acanthopagrus latus (yellowfin seabream) is the source of this 390-nucleotide long non-coding RNA. RefSeq lists it as uncharacterized. The record is from RefSeq and is a predicted model, not a curated record. The transcript is spliced from 2 exons. Lineage: Eukaryota; Metazoa; Chordata; Actinopteri; Spariformes; Sparidae.
CUGUCUCGGGGAGGAGAACAAAUCGGCUCCUUCAUGGCCCAGUGAACCAUCGACUCGGUAACCAGCAGAGUCCUUCAGAUAGAAAAGAUGCAUGGUGCUUUAAACCAUUGCAGGCCUCUCUGCUCUCCACCCCUCCUCCUCCUCCUCCUCCUCCUCCUCCUCCUCCUCCUCCUCUUUCCUUUCCAUUCCUCGUGCUCGGGCUUGAAACCGCUGCUCCAUGACACCGGGCAUCACACGUAGAAUAAAAAUGAGCCAAGUUGUGCAGUCGUCCCCGGAGUCCGGACACUUCUAUCAUGCAAAGCAUCAGUGGGGACUAAAUCUGUUACCGCUGCGUGUCGGUGCCUCGCGAAUUUAAACCAUAAAGUCAAUUAUUAAAGCAGUUGCAUCUUA